This 1503-nucleotide long non-coding RNA is filed under the name Malus domestica (apple). RNAcentral's name for it is "long non-coding RNA (MDOM_LNC003756)". Lineage: Eukaryota; Viridiplantae; Streptophyta; Magnoliopsida; Rosales; Rosaceae. The record is from RNAcentral.
AUGAGUUCACUGAACACGAUCAACGAAGAGUUCUCAUAUUCAUGUCACAUGAGAACUCAUGGUUGGGAUCAUGCAAAGUAGUCCUUUGACCUGAGGCAUCACAGUUGUCUUGUGGUUAAGUCUUUAAUCUUUGAUUAUGUCAAAGUCACCCCAUCCGCGGGUGUCCACGACAUCGUUGGGGUUAAGCCACUUAGCCAUGGAGGCAAUUGAAUGCGCAACAAGGGAUCUCUAACCUUCAAACCGUUUGGGGGGAGAAUACUCUAUGAUAUGAUUGAGAAUCUCUGAUCAGAGUAUGAAUGAGAUUUAGGAAGGUGUUCCAAAUCACAUUCAAGGUAAUCAUAUAAGUAAACGAAUCACAUUGGAUAGUAGACAUGAAUAAACUAUCAAACCAAACAAUGUGGUCAAGAGUAUUGUAUUAGAGAAAGACCGUAUUGCAUUUGUAAUCCUAAACUGAAUAGGUUCUCCACCUCUUCUGAUUAGCUUGGGUAACCAUGAUAUGCUGCUAGGUGUCACUCAUGGUUUGUGGAAACCCUUAACGUGUAUAAUCACUAAAGGGAGAAUUGAAAGUAAGUUUCAAUUAUCAAUCGGUUUGAAAUAGUUCUAAUCGCCCACUACCUCGCUAAAAGGAACCUAAUGGAUCGUACACCGUGUAAGGUAAAGAUUGAAGAAACAACGGAGAUGAGUAAGAAUAAUUAAAUGGUUUAAUUAUUUAUGGCAAGGAUUAAUUAAUAUGUUAAUUAAUCAAACGAAUAAGUUCGUUAAAAGACCACGGGUUAGUUUUGGGCCUCAAGGCCCAAUGGGCUUCGAACGUCAAGCCCAUUGACUUAAGUUGUAUGACAACUUAAUGACUAUUAAUUCACAAAGGCCCAAAAGCCCAAUAAAACCCUUGUGGCCGGCCAUGUUAGAAGAAUGGGCUUUUGGUUCUUUAGGUCACUUAUUUGAAGGGACUAUAUAAAAGACUUUAUAGCCUUAAUUCAUUAAGGGUUUCUUUUUAGGAAAUUGGAGAGAACACAAAGCUCUCCUUUCUGUCUAAAGAGGCCUGCCACCCUAGAGGAAAUUAACUAGCAAUCUUGCUUCCUCUAGGUCACUCAUUUCUUCAUCAAUCCGUCCUUGGUGUGGAGACUUAGAGGUUCUCAAUUUUGGGAACUUGGAGAAUCUAUUGUUCCAUCCAAAUCCAUGGAUCUAAGAAGCAAAGAAUGAAGGCCCUCUCCUUGGGUGAUUAGCCUUUGCUCAUGCAAAGAGGAAUCUACAAAGGUAUAAAUUUCUCAACUCACUUUGUUUUGAGUUGAGUCUUGGUUCACCAAUCUACUAGGCUUUGAAUUUCAUGGGUAAUGUUUUGUUUUUGAGUGCAUGCUAGCAUGAUUCUGCCUUUAAUUGUUAAUUGCAUGCUUAUAGAUGUUGCUCAAAUGAACAUGUUUUCACAAAAUCAUCCUUCAAGUGGUAUCAGAGCCUAGGUCUAGUAGUUGGUGAAUCCUUUUGGGUUUUGUAGUUCAUAGUUUUGAU